This 425-nucleotide ribosomal RNA is filed under the name uncultured bacterium. RNAcentral describes it as "partial 16S ribosomal RNA". It matches the Rfam family "Bacterial small subunit ribosomal RNA", at positions 354 to 796 of the family's 1533-position model. The record is from RNAcentral.
GUGGGGAAUCUUGCGCAAUGGGCGAAAGCCUGACGCAGCCAUGCCGCGUGAAUGAUGAAGGUCUUAGGAUUGUAAAAUUCUUUCACCGGGGACGAUAAUGACGGUACCCGGAGAAGAAGCUCCGGCUAACUUCGUGCCAGCAGCCGCGGUAAUACGAAGGGGGCUAGCGUUGCUCGGAAUUACUGGGCGUAAAGGGCGCGUAGGCGGACAGCUUAGUCAGAGGUGAAAGCCCAGGGCUCAACCUUGGAAUUGCAUUUGAUACUGGCUGUCUUGAGUUUGGGAGAGGUGAGUGGAACUCCGAGUGUAGAGGUGAAAUUCGUAGAUAUUCGGAAGAACACCAGUGGCGAAGGCGACUCACUGGCCCAAUACUGACGCUGAGGCGCGAAAGCGUGGGGAGCAAACAGGAUUAGAUACCCUAGUAGUCC